UAGGCUGCAUUCCGAAACUCAUUUUAAAAAAGUGUUGCAAUCUUUUAGUCGGUGAAUGUAUAAUACAUAUGAUGUACACCAUUUACAUAGUCAUUUACGCUAUUCCGAGCGAGUUUUCUAUGUGUCAGAGGUGAAUGGUUCAUUUGCUAGUCAUUUUAUUCGACGAGUCAUUCGAACUGAAAAGGAGAGAGCUAUAAUGCCCGGCUGUGUAAUAGAUUAUUGCAUAAACUCUGCUAAAAAGGAUUUUAAAAUGUGUCGUUUUCACGAGACUGCUAAAAAGACCAAAAAUUUGUGCUGAAAGUACAGGACAAUAAGACAACUCCAUCUAAUAUUUCAGUGUUAUGUACAUUUUGAUGCAGAAAUGUUUUCAUGCAAAAAUGAAAAUAGAGAGAAGACAUAAUUGUAUAUUGAUUUAUUAUUUUAUAUGCAAUUCUAUCUUCAUUAGUUAUGUUUUGAAUGUAA
Molecule: long non-coding RNA, 462 nt
Filed under: Acromyrmex echinatior (Panamanian leafcutter ant)
Lineage: Eukaryota; Metazoa; Arthropoda; Insecta; Hymenoptera; Formicidae
Description: uncharacterized LOC105147864, transcript variant X2
Source: RNAcentral